RNAcentral lists this ribosomal RNA (497 nucleotides) under uncultured bacterium. Its description in RNAcentral is "partial 16S ribosomal RNA". It matches the Rfam family "Bacterial small subunit ribosomal RNA", at positions 28 to 523 of the family's 1533-position model. The record is from RNAcentral.
GAUGAACGCUGGCGGAGUGCUUAACACAUGCAAGUCGAACGAAGAACUCUAUUUGAUUUUCUUCGGACAUGAAGAUUUUGUGACUGAGUGGCGGACGGGUGAGUAACGCGUGGGUAACCUGCCUCAUACAGGGGGAUAACAGUCGGAAACGACUGCCAAUACCGCAUAAGCGCACAGUAUUGCAUGAUCCAGUGUGAACAACUCCGGUGUUAUGAGAGGGACCCGCGUCUGAUUAGCUAGUUGGUGGGGCAACGGACUACCAAGGCGACGAUCAGGCGCCGACCUGAGAGGGUGACCGGCCACAUUGGGACUGAGACACGGCCCAGACGCCUACGGUAGGCAGCAGUGGGGAAGGUUGCACAAUGGGGGAUACCCUGAUGCAGCGACGCCGCGUGAACGAAGAAGUAUUUCGGUAUGUAAAGUUCUAUCAGCAGGGAAGAUAAUGACGUUACCUGACUAAGAAGCACCGGCUAAAUACGAGCCAGCCGCCGCCGUAA